GGGCGAGUACCAGCAGAAGCCGCCUGGACAGCAACCGGAAGUGCGGUGGCUCUGGUGGGCGUGGUGGCUGAGUACCAGCAGAAGCCGCGUGGACAGCAACCGGAAGUGCCGUGGCUCUGGACUCUGGGCUGUCGUAGCCAAACACGCCUUCUUGGCCGAGUGGUGGCAUUCUGCCUGCCCCCUGUGGGCAUCAUUGAGAUUCUGCUCCCCAGCUUCCGCAGUGCUCCGUUUUGUGAUGGAAAGUCAGCAUCCCUUGCCUUAGGAGAAACCCAGGUAUCUGGUGAUGGAAGAACUUUUGAGGGAAGCUUGAGACUGGCCAGUCCACACUCUGCUUAACCAAGGGAAGGGCACCACUUCUACCACCAGGAGAUACCUGCUGUGGGACACAGUGCUGCUCCAGCCAUGCAGAAGCUCACACAGGCCUGCAGCAGUUAUUCAUCCGUGCACAGCUGCCACUGGCCAGCAGAGCCUGUGACGGGGCCUUCACAGGUAAUUCCCAAGAUCAAAACAGCCUCUUGUACUUAAAAUAAUUGCUUUGCCACCAUUUCCAAGAUGCUGCAGAGUGCUUCUGAAUUCUGUUCAUUUCAAAGAACCCACUUCCUCUAUUUGAAAAACGGGUAUUUUAAUGUCUGCCAGGCCACAAUUCCAUGAGGCAUGAUGGUGUGCAGAAUGUUCUGGAGAUUUCCAUAAGAAAGAUCUCUAAGGGCCAGAACUGACUAAAGUCAUGUAGGCCACCUCUAAAAGAGGCAAGGCUCAAAGAUAAAUACUAGCAUCAAAAGAGAGGUCCUUUGGUGUGAUAUGCCCCAUGUCAUUCAGCUUUGUUGUGGCCAGUCAUCGUUGGUGGCAGCUGACUGGUGGCAGAAUCACACCCACUGUGUGAUUCUCUGCAGAAGGCUGGUGAUUUGAGGAUGGACAGGAAGUUCUGAACUCAGGAAUACCAUGCAUUUUCACAAGCGUUUUCACUUUGCCUUAAGAUUUGUAGAAGAGUUAAGUUGGGAUCCCAUCAUCAGCAAAACCUAACACCACCAUCCUGAGAUAAGCUAAGAAAAGCUAAGAAAAAGAUAAGCUGAGAAAAGCUAAGGAAAGAUUUGUCAACCUUUCUUCUAGAUCAGAACAGCAAACGUGAUGCAGGAUUUCCUGAGGUUGGGACCGGACCGAAACGUUUUCCAUCUUCUAUUUUUGUUUACUCAGCUUCAACUGCCACCUUUUAUGCUAUCCUGGGGGCAAGGGGGCACCCAUGUGAAUGAGAGAUACUGGAUUUGGCCAAGAUCAUUAGGCAAGGGUGCCGUUCCCACACAGUAAUGCCUUGCAGGCACAAGGAUGGAAAAUUAUGCCAGGAAUGCGAUACCGCCAAGCCUGAACACAGAGAGGACACGACGUUGGCACAGGCCUGUUGGGUCUUGACUUCAGCCUGCAGAGGAGCUGGAGGAGGCUGGCAGACUCUGCUCACAAAUGGGAAGGCCCAGCUGCCAAUGGCUUUUCCUCUCUGCCCAUGUAACACUUUUUGUGGGGAAUGUGUGGACACAGCUUGAGGCUUUGUAUCCACCCUGUCAGUUGGUGAGAUAGAGAAGAGAUGGGCUGAUGGUUAUUGAGGCACUACUGCUCAGAUGGGGCAUUGUUGGAGCCCAUAGAUGGGGCAUUGUUGGAGUUGUAAUGAGAGAAGUUGCUAGUGGCCCCUGGAGCAAGACACCUGGAGCUUCUAUUCAGCUUGCUCUUCUUCAACAUCCAUGCUUCUGUAAGAUGAGAUUUGCACGGUGCUUUUAUUUAUAUAUUUUAUUAUUAUUAUUUUGAGAUAAGGUCUUGCUCUGUCACCCAAGCUAGAGUGCAGUGGCAUAACCAUCGCUCACUGCAGCAUUGACCUCCCUGGCCCAAGCAAUCCUCCCAACUCAGCCCCCUGAGUAGCUGGGACUACAGGCACACACCAUCAUGCCCAGCUAAUUUUUAAAUUUUUGUAGAGUUGGGAUCUCACUCUGCUGCCCAGGCUGGCCUUAAACUCCUGGACUGAAGUGAUCCUCUUGCCUCAGCCUCCCAAAGUGCUAGGAUUACAGUCAUGAGCCAGCAUGCCCACCCACAUCAUCCUUUUAGAGUGACAAAUUCGGGCUGGCUCGGUGGCUCAUGCCUGUAAUCCCAGCAUUUUGGGAGGCCGAGGCAGGUGGAUCACCUGAGGUCAGGAGUUCAAGACCAGCCUGGCCAACAUGGUGAAACCCUGUUUCUGAUAAAAAUACAAAAAUUAGCUGGAUGUGGUGGUGGGCAUCUGUAAUCCCAGCUACUUGGGAGGCUGAGGCAGGAGAAUCACUUGAACCCAGGAGGCAAAAGUUGCAGUGAGCCAAGAUCGUGCCACUGUACUCCAACCUGGGCAACAGAGGGAGACUCUGUCUCAAAAGAAUAAAAAAUAAAAAAAAGUUAAGAAGGACAAAUUCAAAUAGGUCUAGGGGAGAGGCAGAAAAGCUGCUUUAUGUUAGGACCUGGCUUGUAUGAGAGGGAACAAUAACUGCAAAUGUGGAAAACUGGUAGGGAGAAAGGGGAUGAGACUGAUUUUGUAUCACUCUAAAUGGUAACUACGCUGACAAAUGGAAAUAUCGAAGGAAAGUUUCCACUCAAUAGAAAUGAAGUGUUUUCCAAUAAUUAGAAUGGUGGAAAAAAAAAAGUGGCUCCAGGUGAGAACACCCAGAGUUCAAAUUCCAGGUUUGUGACUGACCACCUCUGUGACCACAGGCACAUUAGACAAUGACUCUGAGCAUGUUUUCUCAUCUGCAAAACACAUAUGUUUUUGACGAUUUCUUAUUGAUCACCAACUACAUGCCAUGUUCUAGAGACCAUGUUCCACCCAAGAGUUGGAAAAAAAGGGGUAAAUAAGUCCUGCAGUUUGCCUUCUAGGUGGGAAGAAAGAAUAAAGAAUGAAGUGAAA
Molecule: long non-coding RNA, 2908 nt
Organism: Homo sapiens (human)
Lineage: Eukaryota; Metazoa; Chordata; Mammalia; Primates; Hominidae
Product: long intergenic non-protein coding RNA 1254
Source: Ensembl